GGGUACCGCUCUCUCAACCUCUGCCUGCGCUCGGUAUAAGCGUGUGGAC
Molecule: non-coding RNA, 49 nt
Filed under: unclassified sequences
Source: RNAcentral